CCAGACUCCUACGGGAGGCAGCAGUGGGGAAUAUUGGGCAAUGGGCGCAAGCCUGACCCAGCAACGCCGCGUGAAGGAAGAAGGCUUUCGGGUUGUAAACUUCUUUUGACAGGGAAGAGCAGAAGACGGUAUCUGUCGAAUAAGCCACGGCUAACUACGUGCCAGCAGCCGCGGUAAUACGUAGGUGGCAAGCGUUGUCCGGAUUUACUGGGUGUAAAGGGCGUGUAGCCGGGCUGACAAGUCAGAUGUGAAAUCCGGGGGCUCAACCCCCGAACUGCAUUUGAAACUGUUGGUCUUGAGUAUCGGAGAGGCAGGCGGAAUUCCUAGUGUAGCGGUGAAAUGCGUAGAUAUCAGGAGGAACACCGGCGGCGAAGGCGGCCUGCUGGACUGAAACUGACGUUGAGGCUCGAAAGCGUGGGGAGCAAACAGGAUUAGAUACCCCCGUACG
RNAcentral lists this ribosomal RNA (448 nucleotides) under uncultured bacterium. RNAcentral's name for it is "bacterial SSU rRNA". It matches the Rfam family "Bacterial small subunit ribosomal RNA", at positions 331 to 793 of the family's 1533-position model. The record is from RNAcentral.